This 748-nucleotide long non-coding RNA is filed under the name Chinchilla lanigera (long-tailed chinchilla). Its description in RNAcentral is "lncRNA (ENSCLAG00000023770.1)". The record is from RNAcentral. Lineage: Eukaryota; Metazoa; Chordata; Mammalia; Rodentia; Chinchillidae.
GGCCGCUGGCCGCAGCUCCUCAGAGCCCGCCCUCCCGGGACUGCGGCGAGCUUGCGACGCACAGCGGAGCGCGGGGCAGGAGGGGGCGCUCGGAGCGGGGGCCGUAGCCACCGCGAGACCCCGGGUCCCCGAGUCCCAGGGCAGGCAGCCGCGCUGCGACCUGGCGAGGCGUCCGGGCGAGCAGAGGGGCACCCCGGUGUGUGGCACCGAAGCGGGCUCCUAGCCGCCCGCCACCUCCUUCGGUCGCGUGCCGGGACCCCGGAUUAUUUCCGCAAUUGCUGCGCGCACCUUUCUCCCGCUUUCCCCAGAUUCCUUCUCGGAAUGGGUCCUCCCGCCUCUGCGGCGGCUGGGAUGGCGCACACGAGAAACACGAUGCAGGAAGGACAGUGGGGACCACCAACCUCCUUGGUGGCCAGCUGAGCCCAGUGGAUGGCCCCUAUCUCAGCUGCAAGCCAACUUUGCUCCACCAGCCUGAGCACUGUGAGUUGCAAGCAUAUCCAUCCAUUCUGAAAGGAAUCUACAGCAUCUGAAAAUCAAAACUACUCUUGCUUUCCCAAACCCUUCACUUAACAUUGCUCAAUGUAGUUAAGUGGAGAGAAUGCAAAUGAUUUAUAUUUCACUGGCUACGUUGAAGAAACUCAAGGGAGAUGUGUUCUGCUUCAAGACUGGAAAAAAAAUCCCCAAAAACUGUAAUGCAAAGGCUUUGUAGUAUUUUUAAACCUUUGAUUCAGUCCAUAUGUGACAUCUG